RNAcentral lists this ribosomal RNA (320 nucleotides) under uncultured Chloroflexota bacterium. RNAcentral describes it as "bacterial SSU rRNA". It matches the Rfam family "Bacterial small subunit ribosomal RNA", at positions 28 to 351 of the family's 1533-position model. The record is from RNAcentral. Lineage: Bacteria; Bacillati; Chloroflexota.
GAUGAACGCUGGCGGCGUGCUUAAUACAUGCAAGUCGGACGGAGGUUGCAGCGAUGUAACCUUAGUGGCGAACGGGUGAGUAACGCGUUGGUGACCUGCCCCGAAGCGGGGGAUAACAGUCCGAAAGGAUUGCUAAUACCUCAUGAUAUCAAUUGGAUUAGAUACCUUUUGAUCAAAGGCGAAAGCCACUUUGGGAGGGCCUGCGUCCCAUCAGCUAGUUGGUAGGUAAUGGCCUACCAAGGCCAAGACGGGUAGGGGACCUGAGAGGGUGGACCCCCACACUGGCACUGAAACACGGGCCAGACACCUACGGGAGGCAG